UGGAGUGUGAAUGCACUAAAAUUAUAAAACAAUGAUGUUAUUAUUAAAUUGUUGUAUAUUAAAUCCUAUGCAUUUUUAAUUAAUUUUUACUUAUAAACUGUAAAUAUUUGAAAAUAAUAAAUAAAAAAUCUUUUAAACUUCAAUUUAAUUGCACAUGCUCAAUUAAAUUUGUGUACUUACCUUGUGUACUUACCUUUUAUUUGAACUUAAUUUUAUUGGACAAAAAAUUUAUUUUUAAAUAUAGUAGUUUUAACAAACUCCGCCUAAAUAAUUUAUGCUUA
This 281-nucleotide unclassified non-coding RNA is filed under the name Hevea brasiliensis (rubber tree). Lineage: Eukaryota; Viridiplantae; Streptophyta; Magnoliopsida; Malpighiales; Euphorbiaceae. The record is from RNAcentral.